AACUUACCUACAACGUUGCUUCGGCGGGAAACCGACGGCCCCGUGAAACGGGCCGCCCCCGCCAGAGGACCCCCUAACUCUUGUUAUUAAUGUUUCUCUGAGUAAAACAAGCAAAUAAAUUAAAACUUUCAACAACGGAUCUCUUGGCUCUGGCAUCGAUGAAGAACGCAGCGAAAUGCGAUAAGUAAUGUGAAUUGCAGAAUUCAGUGAAUCAUCGAAUCUUUGAACGCACAUUGCGCCCGCCAGUAUUCUGGCGGGCAUGCCUGUCCGAGCGUCAUUACAACCCUCAGGCCCAGCCUGGUGUUGGGGAUCGGCCGAGCCCUCCGGGGCAGACGCCGUCCCCCAAAUUCAGUGGCGGUCUCGCUGCAGCCUCCAUUGCGUAGUAGCUAACACCUCGCAACUGGAACGCGGCGCGGCCAUGCCGUAAAACCCCCAACUUCUGAA
RNAcentral lists this unclassified non-coding RNA (444 nucleotides) under Fusarium kelerajum. RNAcentral describes it as "sequence contains 18S rRNA gene, ITS1, 5.8S rRNA gene, ITS2, 28S rRNA gene". The stretch from base 124 to 277 matches the Rfam family "5.8S ribosomal RNA". Lineage: Eukaryota; Fungi; Ascomycota; Sordariomycetes; Hypocreales; Nectriaceae. The record is from RNAcentral.